RNAcentral lists this ribosomal RNA (482 nucleotides) under uncultured bacterium. RNAcentral describes it as "partial 16S ribosomal RNA". It matches the Rfam family "Bacterial small subunit ribosomal RNA", at positions 30 to 507 of the family's 1533-position model. The record is from RNAcentral.
AUUGAACGCUGGCGGCAUGCCUUACACAUGCAAGUCGAACGGUAACAGGUCUUCGGAUGCUGACGAGUGGCGCACGGGUGAGUAAUACAUCGGAACGUGCCCAGACGUGGGGGAUAACGAGGCGAAAGCUUUGCUAAUACCGCAUACGAUCUAAGGAUGAAAGCAGGGGACCGCAAGGCCUUGUGCGUUUGGAGCGGCCGAUGGCAGAUUAGGUAGUUGGUGGGAUAAAAGCUUACCAAGCCGACGAUCUGUAGCUGGUCUGAGAGGACGACCAGCCACACUGGGACUGAGACACGGCCCAGACGCCUACGGGAGGCAGCAGUGGGGAAUGUUGGACAAUGGGCGAAAGCCUGAUCCAGCAAUGCCGCGUGCAGGAUGAAGGCCUUCGGGUUGUAAACUGCUUUUGUACGGAACGAAAAGGCUCUGGCUAAUACCUGGGGCACAUGACGGUACCGGAAGAAUAAGCACCGGCUAACUACGUG